RNAcentral lists this ribosomal RNA (440 nucleotides) under uncultured bacterium. Its description in RNAcentral is "partial 16S ribosomal RNA". It matches the Rfam family "Bacterial small subunit ribosomal RNA", at positions 338 to 795 of the family's 1533-position model. The record is from RNAcentral.
CCUACGGGGGGCAGCAGUGGGGAAUAUUGCACAAUGGGCGAAAGCCUGAUGCAGCGACGCCGCGUGAGCGAUGAAGGCCCUCGGGUCGUAAAGCUCUGUCCUCAUGGAAGAAAAUGACGGUACCUGAGGAGGAAGCCCCGGCUAACUACGUGCCAGCAGCCGCGGUAAUACGUAGGGGGCUAGCGUUAUCCGGAUUUACUGGGGGUAAAGGGGGCGGAGGUGGGGUUUCAAGCCAGGAGUGAAAGGCCGGGGCUCAACCCGGGGAAGGCGGUUGAAACUGGGGGGCUUGAGUGCAGGAGGGGCAGGCGGAAUUCCUGGUGUAGCGGUGAAAUGCGUAGAUAUUAGGAGGAACACCGGUGGCGAAGGCGGCUCUCUGGACUGCAACUGACGCUGAGGCACGAAAGCGUGGGGAGCAAACAGGAUUAGAUACCCGUGUAGUC